GUCCCUGUAGCGCAGUGGAUAAUGAAUUGGAUUUUUAAUCCAAAGGUCGUGGGUUCAAAUCCCACCAGGGAUG
Molecule: transfer RNA, 73 nt
Filed under: Trichonephila inaurata madagascariensis
Lineage: Eukaryota; Metazoa; Arthropoda; Arachnida; Araneae; Nephilidae
Rfam family: tRNA
About the family: Transfer RNA (tRNA) molecules are approximately 80 nucleotides in length. Their secondary structure includes four short double-helical elements and three loops (D, anti-codon, and T loops).
Source: Rfam by way of RNAcentral